AACUGAGUGAAAUUUAUCUCUGUCCUCAGGGAGGUGAUGGCUCCAUUAAAGUGUCCAGAGAUAACUCAUCUCAAACCAAGGGCAUAGGAGCAGCCAUACUUAAGAUAAACUGUCCUUAAGCACAGCAUCACGAUAUGCUGGAUUACCCAAUCACUUGUAAGGAAAGACAGAGAUGAAGUUAUCCUGACUGCUGAGAUGAGCAGUUCACCCUAGGAGGACCUGUGGGACUAUGUUUUGGUCAAGAAAAGUUGAGCUGCUCUGUGGGAGUGAGGUUCCAAUGAAGCCAAAUGUACAAGACGGUCCUGAAUGGGAUUCAUUGGCCAGGCAACACAUGGCACAGAUGGCUGCAAACAUAACACUGCACAAUGCCCAAGAGCAUGGUGUAAUGGGCCAGGAACACAGUCUCACUAUUGUUUUCCAUGUAGAGGGUAUUAUCACAGGUAAGAAACAAAUAUCAAAGAGCUAAGAACCCCACGGAGUGAGAAAAAUGAUGACAGUGUGAAAGGUCGUGAGAGAUUCUCCUCAGAUCACUCAAAGGCUGCUGUUUGCAGAGCAUGGAACAAAGUGAUGUUGAGUUAGCUUCAAAGAUACUCUGGUCUUGAAAGCAAAUCAACUCACCAUCUACUGCAUUGAUGAAACAAGAGCGGAAAGAGCUUAUCUGCCUCUAGAAGUGAGCUACACUUCCCUCUUCUCUAAUUUUCUCUACCUUAAGAGAAAAGAAACUCUGUAGAUCUUAAUAAAAUGUUUUCUCAUUACAAUUGCUAAAACUUAACCUUCAAAAUUUAACUAUGUAGAACAAGAAAUAUAUAAAAUGAGGGUGGUUUAUGCCAUGGGCCUUCAUCCCAUUCUCCUGAU
Long non-coding RNA from Rhinopithecus roxellana (golden snub-nosed monkey), 855 nucleotides. RefSeq lists it as uncharacterized. NCBI's taxonomy places the organism in Eukaryota, Metazoa, Chordata, Mammalia, Primates, Cercopithecidae. The transcript is spliced from 5 exons. The record is from RefSeq and is a predicted model, not a curated record.